Molecule: long non-coding RNA, 710 nt
Organism: Acanthochromis polyacanthus (spiny chromis)
Lineage: Eukaryota; Metazoa; Chordata; Actinopteri; Pomacentridae
Exons: 4
Source: RefSeq, a predicted model, not a curated record
GUUCUAACGUGUGCUAGUCCACUGACCUCCUGUGGUUCUGGUCCAGGUAGGUACAGACAGGUACGAGUCCAGGUAGGUACAGACAGGUACCAGUCCAGGUAGGUACAGACAGGUACCAGUCCAGGUAGGUACAGACAGGUACGAGUCCAGGUAGAUACAGACAGGUACGAGUCCAGGUAGGUACAGACAGGUACCAGUCCAGGUAGAUACAGACAGGUACGAGUCCAGGUAGGUACAGACAGGUACGAGUCCAGGUAGGUACAGACAGGUACCAGUCCAGGUAGGUACAGACAGGUACGAGUCCAGGUAGGUACAGACAGGUACGAGUCCAGGUAGGUACAGACAGGUACGAGUCCAGGUAGGUACAGACAGGUACCAGUCCAGGUAGGUACAGAGGCAGACAGGUCUAAAUGCAGGUGGAGGCAGACAGGUGAGGAAGAUGCUCAUUGAGAGGCAGGAGGGGAACAGCUGCUGAGUCUCUGACCUUUUCCAACAUUCACUUUAAAGAUCAGACACAUCAAAAUAGAUUUUUCUUCUGCCGCUGCUCUGAACCUCAGCGUGAAACUCUGACACAGGUGGAAAGCAGAUUCAGUCUGAAUAAAAGUACAAGUUUUAGGUAUUUUAUAUGUUCUGCUACUUUCUGCUACAGUUUUUGCUUCAUAUUCAUUUGGCAGCGUCUCUCUGUGUUCAUUUUGUGUUUCUACGUGCGU